This 391-nucleotide ribosomal RNA is filed under the name Aureoboletus thibetanus. RNAcentral describes it as "LSU rRNA". It matches the Rfam family "Bacterial large subunit ribosomal RNA", at positions 1723 to 2096 of the family's 2925-position model. Lineage: Eukaryota; Fungi; Basidiomycota; Agaricomycetes; Boletales; Boletaceae. The record is from RNAcentral.
UAUCCUCAUAAGUUCGACAAGAAGAGGAACCAUGAAUUUAGUAAGUUAAUAACUCCUAUUAAUUUAUUUAUAUGGUGGCACAAAAUCGGAAGCCCCGACUGUUUACUAAAAACACAACUAUCUGCAAUUAUGAAAAUAAUAGUAUAGGUAGUGAGAUUUGCCCAAUGCCAUUUUAAUAAGUAAUAAUAAUGGGUAACUGUUUCUUUACAAAAAAUUGGUUAAUAGCGGUCUUAACUAUGAGGAUCCUAAGGUAGCAAAAUAAAUUGGCCAUUAAAUGUGGUCCAGUAUCAAUAAUUUAACGAUGGCUUCACUGUCUCUACAACUUGCUCAGUGAAAUUGAAUUACCCGUGCAGAUGCGGGUUACCUCAAAGAGGACGGGAAGACCCUAUGC